Non-coding RNA from Cherax quadricarinatus, 705 nucleotides. The record is from RefSeq and is a predicted model, not a curated record. Lineage: Eukaryota; Metazoa; Arthropoda; Malacostraca; Decapoda; Parastacidae.
AUAAGAACCAUCAGUGUAGGUGAGAGGUGUGUGGCUGACGCUGUUAUGUUAGCUGCUGUUAUUAUUGUCACUCUGGCUCUUGUAUAAGUGUUCUUGCUGCUUCUAUCAUGACUUACCAACUCUACCGCAACACCACCUUGGGAAACACCCUCCAGGAGAGCCUUGAUGAACUCAUACAGUUUCAGCAGAUUUCUCCGAAUCUGGCUCUUCGUGUACUGCUCCAGUUUGAUCGUGCAAUUAAUACAGCUUUAGCCAAUAAAGUCCGUGCUCGUAUAAACUUCAAGGCUAAUAAGUUGAACACUUACCGAUUCUGUGACAAUGUUUGGACCUUUUUGAUGAGUGAUGUGGAGUUUAAAGAAGUUCAGGACUUUGCACAGGUGGAUAAGUUGAAGAUUGUGGCUUGUGACGGCAGAGGUGAGAAAGACUCGAGUCAUCCUGGGAAUAAAUGAUCUCAAAUGAAGUGAUGUUCUGGAGAAGGGUACAGCCAGAGUGAAGUUGCUGCUUGCUGCCUGUCUUGUGGUGUAGAAGUUCACUUCUCGCUGUCCUCGGAGAUGGUCCUGGUCCUGGAGGUGCGACUGGGGGUGGGGUGACAAGUGACUAGGGCACCUUUUCCAUGAGGUAAAAAGAAGCAUAUAUCUUGCCUAGAAACAGCAUAGUAAAAAUCUAAUUUGUAAAUCAAAUUUAAGUAAUAAAAGGUCUAUGUAC